AAGACUAUAGACCUGCGGAGUACCUGCGGAAGGAUCAUUAUCGAGUUAGGGUCUAUUCAGGCCCGACCUCCCAACCCUAUGUUUAUUGAACCUAUGUUGCUUCGGCGGGCCCGUCUCACGACCGCCGGGGGACCGUAAGACGUCCUCUGGCCCGCGCCCGUCGGUGACCAAACUUAAACUCUGAUUGAAUCGUGUCACUGUCUGAGUACCAUUUUUAAUUAAAACAAAAACUUUUAACAA
RNAcentral lists this unclassified non-coding RNA (240 nucleotides) under soil metagenome. Its description in RNAcentral is "partial contains 5.8S ribosomal RNA, internal transcribed spacer 2, and large subunit ribosomal RNA". The record is from RNAcentral.